Molecule: ribosomal RNA, 435 nt
Filed under: uncultured Saccharofermentans sp.
Lineage: Bacteria; Bacillati; Bacillota; Clostridia; Eubacteriales; Oscillospiraceae
Description: partial 16S ribosomal RNA
Rfam family: Bacterial small subunit ribosomal RNA
Source: RNAcentral
ACGGGAGGCAGCAGUGGGGAAUAUUGGGCAAUGGGCGCAAGCCUGACCCAGCAACGCCGCGUGAAGGAUGAAGGUCUUCGGAUUGUAAACUUCUUUGAUCAGGGACGAAUUUUGACGGUACCUGAAGAACAAGUCACGGCUAACUACGUACCAGCAGCCGCGGUAAUACGUAGGUGACAAGCGUUAUCCGGAUUUACUGGGUGUAAAGGGCGUGUAGGCGGUUUGGCAAGUCAGAAGUGAAAUUCCCGGGCUUAACUUGGGCGCUGCUUCUGAAACUGCUUAACUUGAGUACUGGAGAGGAUAGUGGAAUUCCUAGUGUAGCGGUAAAAUGCGCAGAUAUUAGGAAGAACACCAGUGGCGAAGGCGACUUGCUGGACCGCAACUGACGCUGAGGCUCGAAAGCGUGGGGAGCAAACAGGAUUAGAUACCCUGGUA